This 264-nucleotide ribosomal RNA is filed under the name Triticum aestivum (bread wheat). RNAcentral's name for it is "partial small subunit ribosomal RNA". The record is from RNAcentral. Lineage: Eukaryota; Viridiplantae; Streptophyta; Magnoliopsida; Poales; Poaceae.
AUGGAAUAUCAGCCGAUCGUCUCUGCGCUGGACGUCCGCACCGAGCCAAUCACCGUCUACAUCCUCUUCUCCAUGGUGGCGAACUUCGACCAGCGGGUCGAGGUGUUCCACGGCAAUGACGGCGGCGCCUUCAAGUCAUCGGCAAACAUUGCUUCUCACGGCCGAGGCAACAAGGGCAACUACGGCAACCAGAAGGGCAAUGGCGGUGGCUACGGUGGCACCAGCCACGACAAUGGAGGUGAUACGUCUCCAACGUAUCUAUAA